This 496-nucleotide ribosomal RNA is filed under the name uncultured bacterium. Its description in RNAcentral is "partial 16S ribosomal RNA". It matches the Rfam family "Bacterial small subunit ribosomal RNA", at positions 30 to 507 of the family's 1533-position model. The record is from RNAcentral.
CGAACGCUGGCGGCGUACCUAAUACAUGCAAGUCGAGCGGACGGAUGGGAGCUUGCUCCCAGACCGUCAGCGGCGGACGGGUGAGUAACACGUGGGCAACCUGCCUGUAAGACUGGGAUAACUCCGGGAAACCGGGGCUAAUACCGGAUAACUCUUUCCCUCACAUGAGGGAAAGCUGAAAGAUGGCAUCUCGCUAUCACUUACAGAUGGGCCCGCGGCGCAUUAGCUAGUUGGUGAGGUAACGGCUCACCAAGGCGACGAUGCGUAGCCGACCUGAGAGGGUGAUCGGCCACACUGGGACUGAGACACGGCCCAGACUCCUACGGGAGGCAGCAGUAGGGAAUCUUCCGCAAUGGACGAAAGUCUGACGGAGCAACGCCGCGUGAGUGAUGAAGGUUUUCGGAUCGUAAAACUCUGUUGUCAGGGAAGAACAAGUACCGGAGUAACUGCCGGUACCUUGACGGUACCUGACCAGAAAGCCACGGCUAACUACAUG